UAAGAAAUAGUAUAAUUGGAAGUACUAAGAAUUUUGAUUUCUUAAGAACAAGUUCAAUCCUUGUUUUCUUAU
RNAcentral lists this transfer RNA (72 nucleotides) under Florometra serratissima (common feather star). RNAcentral describes it as "tRNA-Gln". It matches the Rfam family "tRNA". Rfam says of the family: Transfer RNA (tRNA) molecules are approximately 80 nucleotides in length. Their secondary structure includes four short double-helical elements and three loops (D, anti-codon, and T loops). The record is from RNAcentral. Lineage: Eukaryota; Metazoa; Echinodermata; Crinoidea; Comatulida; Antedonidae.